This 90-nucleotide transfer RNA is filed under the name hydrothermal vent metagenome. RNAcentral describes it as "tRNA-Ser-GGA". It matches the Rfam family "tRNA". From Rfam's summary of the family: Transfer RNA (tRNA) molecules are approximately 80 nucleotides in length. The record is from RNAcentral.
GGAGAGGUGCAGGAGUGGUUGAACUGGCACGCCUGGAAAGUGUGUGUACGUGCAAGCGUACCGUGGGUUCGAAUCCCACUCUCUCCGCAA